CCCGUGUAGAUCAGCUGGCAGAUCGCACUCGGUCGCGCCUCGGCGCACUGGAUGAGGCCGCGGGUUCAAGUCCCGCCCCGGGCU
This 84-nucleotide transfer RNA is filed under the name Sphingomonas sp. BK069. RNAcentral describes it as "tRNA-OTHER". Lineage: Bacteria; Pseudomonadati; Pseudomonadota; Alphaproteobacteria; Sphingomonadales; Sphingomonadaceae. The record is from RNAcentral.